UAGUAUAUUUUCCCUCAAGUUUGAAUAUCAAGUAACGGCUUACUUAAAUGAUUGACUGUUACUUUUAGUCAACGGUUUUUUUUGUUUUUGGUUUAGUUUGGUGUUUUAAUCAACUCUAAUUGAUUGUAAACCUUUUUUGAAGUUUUACUUUUACCUGUUUUGCAAAUUCAAUUCAUCACUAGUUAUGUUCAAACUUUUGAUUAGUGUCAAUCAAGUCGUGUUUAGACUUGCUUCUAACCAGCAUUACCUUAUGUGUGCUCAAAGGUCUCUUUGGGUGAAGCAACUCUUGACUCUUCAAUCAAUUUGGUGUGGAAAGUUUGUCGUUUCAAGUAGGAGUGUAACUCUGAUUGAUUAAGUAAACUCUAAAGACUGAUUACCUUGAUUUUUUUAUCAACCAAAUGGCUAGUUUUAAAGAUUGGUAUAGCUGGAAAGGUGAAACCUCUUACUCGAUCAAUUAAUGGCCAAAAUAUAUAAAUUAAGCUGAUUAACUCAACAGGAAUCUAUAGUUUUGAACCUGAGUUUAACCUGCUUUUCUCCUCAAGUAAUGGUUAUUAUAUGGUUUAAAAGUGAACAAUUGAAAUGUAUCUUUUACCUUUCUACUGAAUUAUGUUCACUAACAUCCACAAUUCCCUCAAGAAGUUUCAUAUUUUUAUCUUCAUCUUCACAAGUUGGAACAUUAUGAUGCUCUUUGAUGAUUAAUUUUACCUUGGAAACAAACUUAUAAAAAGAUCAUGAGCAAAGGCUUACCUCUUCAUCUAUCUUAUCAUCAUCAUCACCAUUCUCAUCUUUAACGUUGUCUUCAUUCUUAUUCUUAUUCUCAUCAUUUCUAGCUUUUCUUCUGUUAGCAAGUAUAAUGAUAAUGAUGAUAACAAUACUUAUAUGAUGAUUGAAUAACGAUGAAAGGUAUUUUUACUCAGUGAUUGUCAAUGAAAACUAUGUUUUUAAUGAUACACUUACUUGGAUGCAGAUCCUUCUUAUUCUUCCAUUGGCCGGAUAAAGACAUCUUCGUCUUUCAACCAACUUUAAGGAUUGGACGUAACAAGCAUGGGAAUUAAAGUAUUAAUGAUAACAUUUUUUUCACUUAGACACCAACAACCAUUAAAUGGAUGUUUAUCUUAAAGCUUGUCCAUCUUCAUUUUCUUCAUGGUAUCAAGUGCUAAGACUGAAUCAAUCAUCUGGCAGACAUUUUGUUUUGAAGCCCACGGCAGUUGAAGCUAAACAUUUUGAAUUGCCCUACAACUGUGGUUAAAGCCAAUGAUCUAUCAAAUUGCUCCACGAUAAUUAUGGAAAAUGAUUUGUAUUGGCAGAAAAUUCAACUUCAAUCUAUUAAUCUGACUGUUACCCGGAUCCCUUCAACAAAGGUUGCUCAUUGUAUGCCUUAUGAAGCCAUUACCAGGACAAUUGGUAAUCAAUUAACCAAAUAAUUAGAGAAAGCAAACUGAAAGCCGGCAUAAUUAAUUUUUACUCUUUUGCUCAGCUUGAAUCAGAAUUUUGAGGUUGACUAAACAAUGAUUAGUUAAAUGGUCCAUGUAUCUUGAAUCAUUUAACUUGAUUAACUUGAUAAGAUUGAAUAAAAAUUUUGAUUUCAUCUCAAUACUCA
Molecule: long non-coding RNA, 1600 nt
Organism: Tetranychus urticae (two-spotted spider mite)
Lineage: Eukaryota; Metazoa; Arthropoda; Arachnida; Trombidiformes; Tetranychidae
Source: RefSeq, a predicted model, not a curated record